This 392-nucleotide unclassified non-coding RNA is filed under the name soil metagenome. Its description in RNAcentral is "partial contains 5.8S ribosomal RNA, internal transcribed spacer 2, and large subunit ribosomal RNA". The stretch from base 1 to 120 matches the Rfam family "5.8S ribosomal RNA", at positions 35 to 154 of the family's 154-position model. The record is from RNAcentral.
GAUGAAGAACGCAGCGAAAUGCGAUAAGUAAUGUGAAUUGCAGAAUUCAGUGAAUCAUCGAAUCUUUGAACGCACCUUGCGCUCGUUGGUAUUCCGACGAGCAUGCCUGUUUGAGUGUCAUUAAAUUCUCAACCUCACCACUUUUGUAAUGAAAGUGUGUGUUGGCUUGGAUGUGGGGGUUUGCAGGUCCGCUCUUUUGUGGUCUGCUCCUCUGAAAUGUAUUAGUGGGUUUGGUCCCCUAAUCUAUUGGUGUGAUAAUUAUCUACGCCGUGGAUUGGAAGACUAUUAUGAACCUGCUUCUAACCGUCCCUUACACGGACAAUACUUGACAUUUUUGACCUCAAAUCAGGUAAGACUACCCGCUGAACUUAAGCAUAUCAAUAAGCGGAGGA